This 2643-nucleotide long non-coding RNA is filed under the name Volvox carteri. RNAcentral describes it as "long non-coding RNA (VCAR_LNC002491)". The record is from RNAcentral. Lineage: Eukaryota; Viridiplantae; Chlorophyta; Chlorophyceae; Chlamydomonadales; Volvocaceae.
GACAUGCCUGGAGGCUGAAAGGGCUUCCGGACGCAUAAAUCGCACCAGGCGCCGUCGUACGCCGGACCAACGACACAUCAAAACAUUUCUAGUUGUUAGAAAGGCGGCGGGGAAAGAAGCAUCCAUACGCGCACGCAAUUAGACCCCCGCCGUGAGAUGCGUCGGCGGCUGUGAGGCAGGUGGGGACAUGCCUGGAGGCUGAAAGGGCUUCCGGACGCAUAUAUCGCACCAGGCGCCGUCGUACGCCGGACCAACGAUGCAUCAUAACAUUUCUAGUUGCUAGAAAGGCGGCGGGGAAUAGGAGCAUCCAUACGCGCACGCAAUUAGACCCCCGCCGUGAGAUGCGUCGGCGGCUGUGAGGCAGGUGGGGACAUGCCUGGAGGCUGAAAGGGCUUCCGGACGCAUAAAUCGCACCAGGCGCCGUCGUACGCCGGACCAACGAUUGCAUCAUAACAUUUCUAGUUGUUAGAAAGGCGGCGGGGAAAGAAGCAUCCAUACGCGCACGCAAUUAGACCCCCGCCGUGAGAUGUGUCGGUGGCUGUGAGGCAGGUGGGGACAUGCCUGGAGGCUGAAAGGGCUUCCGGACGCAUAUAUCGCACCAGGCGCCGUCGUACGCCGGACCAACGAUGCAUCAUAACAUUUCUAGCUGCUAGAAAGGCGGCGGGGAAAGGAGCAUCCAUACGCGCACGCAAUUAGACCCCCGCCGUGAGAUGUGUCGGCGGCUGUGAGGCAGGUGGGGACAUGCCUGGAGGCUGAAAGGGCUUCCGGACGCAUAUAUCGCACCAGGCGCCGUCGUACGCCGGACCAACGAUGCAUCAUAACAUUUCUAGUUGCUAGAAAGGCGGCAGGAAUAGGAGCAUCCAUACGGUCACGCAAUUAGACCCCCGCCGUGAGAUGCGUCGGUGGCUGUGAGGCAGGUGGGGACAUGCCUGGAGGCUGAAAGGGCUUCCGGACGCAUAUAUCGCACCAGGCGCCGUCGUACGCCGGACCAACGAUGCAUCAUAACAUUUCUAGCUGCUAGAAAGGCGGCGGGGAAAGGAGCAUCCAUACGCGUCACGCAAUUAGACCCCCGCCGUGAGAUGCGUCGGCGGCUGUGAGGCAGGUGGGGACAUGCCUGGAGGCUGAAAGGGCUUCCGGACGCAUAUAUCGCACCAGGCGCCGUCGUACGCCGGACCACCGAUGCAUCAUAACAGUAACUAGCUGCUAGAAAGGCGGCGGGGUAGGAGCAUCCAUACGGCACGCAAUUAGACCCCCGCCGUGAGAUGCGUCGGCGGCUGUGAGGCAGGUGGGGACAUGCCUGGAGGCUGAAAGGGCUUCCGGACGCAUAUAUCGCACCAGGCGCCGUCGUACGCCGGACCAACGAUGCAUCAUAACAUUUCUAGUUGUUAGAAAGGCGGCGGGGAAAGGAGCAUCCAUACGGCACGCAAUUAGACCCCCGCCGUGAGAUGCGUCGGUGGCUGUGAGGCAGGUGGGGACAUGCCUGGAGGCUGAAAGGGCUUCCGGACGCAUAAAUCGCACCAGGCGCCGUCGUACGCCGGACCAACGAAGCAUCAUAACAUUUCUAGUUGUUAGAAAGGCGGCAGGAAUAGAAGCAUCCAUACGCGCACGCAAUUAGAACCCCGCCGUGAGAUGCGUCGGUGGCUGUGAGGCAGGUGGGGACAUGCCUGGAGGCUGAAAGGGCUUCCGGACGCAUAAAUCGCACCAGGCGCCGUCGUACGCCGGACCAACGAUGCAUCAUAACAUAACUAGUUGUUAGAAAGGCGGCAGGAAUAGGAGCAUCCAUACGCGCACGCAAUUAGAACCCCGCCGUGAGAUGCGUCGGUGGCUGUGAGGCAGGUGGGGACAUGCCUGGAGGCUGAAAGGGCUUCCGGACGCAUAAAUCGCAUCAGGCGCCGUCGUACGCCGGACCAACGAUGCAUCAUAACAUAACUAGUUGUUAGAAAGGCGGCGGGGAAAGAAGCAUCCAUACGCGCACGCAAUUAGAACCCCGCCGUGAGAUGCGUCGGUGGCUGUGAGGCAGGUGGGGACAUGCCUGGAGGCUGAAAGGGCUUCCGGACGCAUAAAUCGCAUCAGGCGCCGUCGUACGCCGGACCAACGAAGCAUCAUAACAUAACUAGUUGUUAGAAAGGCGGCGGGGAAAGAAGCAUCCAUACGCGCACGCAAUUAGAACCCCGCCGUGAGAUGCGUCGGUGGCUGUGAGGCAGGUGGGGACAUGCCUGGAGGCUGAAAGGGCUUCCGGACGCAUAAAUCGCAUCAGGCGCCGUCGUACGCCGGACCACCGAUGCAUCAUAACAUUUACUAGUUGCUAGAAAGGCGGCGGGGUAAGGAGCAUCCAUACGCGCACGCAAUUAGACCCCCGCCGUGAGAUGCGUCGGCGGCUGUGAGGCAGGUGGGACAUGCCUGGAGGCUGAAAGGGCUUCCGGACGCAUAAAUCGCACCAGGCGCCGUCGUACGCCGGACCACCGAUGCAUCAUAACAUCUACUAGUUGCUAGAAAGGCGGCGGGGUAAGGAGCAUCCAUACGCGCACGCAAUUAGACCCCCGCCGUGAGAUGCGUCGGUGGCUGUGAGGCAGGUGGGACAUGCCUGGGAGGCUGAAAGGGCUUCCGGACGCAUACAUCGCACCAGGCGCCGUCGUACACCGG